This 432-nucleotide ribosomal RNA is filed under the name uncultured bacterium. RNAcentral's name for it is "partial 16S ribosomal RNA". It matches the Rfam family "Bacterial small subunit ribosomal RNA", at positions 29 to 507 of the family's 1533-position model. The record is from RNAcentral.
AGCGAACGCUGGCGGCAGGCCUAACACAUGCAAGUCGAACGAACUCUUCGGAGUUAGUGGCGGAUGGGUGAGUAACACGUGGGAACGUGCCGUUUGGUUCGGAAUAACUCAGGGAAACGUGUGCUAAUACCGAAUGUGCCCUUCGGGGGAAAGAUUUAUCGCCUUUAGAGCGGCACGGGUCUGAUUACCUAGUUGGGGAGGUACGGCUCACCAAGGCGUCGAUCAGUAGGUGGUGUGAGAGGAUGACCAGCCACCCUGAGACUGAGACACGGCCCAGACUCAUAGACGAGGCGGCAGAGGGGAAUCUUGCGAAACGGGCGAAAGCCUGACGCAGCCAUGGCGCGAGAAUGAUGUAGGUCUUAGGAUAGUGAAAUUCUUUCACCGGGGACGAUAAUGACGGUACCCGAAGAAGAAGCCCCGGCUAACUUCGUG